RNAcentral lists this transfer RNA (73 nucleotides) under Scuticaria tigrina (spotted snake moray). RNAcentral describes it as "tRNA-Lys". It matches the Rfam family "tRNA". Rfam says of the family: Transfer RNA (tRNA) molecules are approximately 80 nucleotides in length. Their secondary structure includes four short double-helical elements and three loops (D, anti-codon, and T loops). Lineage: Eukaryota; Metazoa; Chordata; Actinopteri; Anguilliformes; Muraenidae. The record is from RNAcentral.
CACUAAGAAGCUGAAGAGGACAGCGUUAGCCUUUUAAGCUAAAGACUGGUGAUUACCAACCACCCCUAGUGAC